RNAcentral lists this transfer RNA (72 nucleotides) under Ipomoea nil (Japanese morning glory). It matches the Rfam family "tRNA". From Rfam's summary of the family: Transfer RNA (tRNA) molecules are approximately 80 nucleotides in length. Their secondary structure includes four short double-helical elements and three loops (D, anti-codon, and T loops). Further hydrogen bonds mediate the characteristic L-shaped molecular structure. tRNAs have two regions of fundamental functional importance: the anti-codon, which is responsible for specific mRNA codon recognition, and the 3' end, to which the tRNAs corresponding amino acid is attached (by aminoacyl-tRNA synthetases). tRNAs cope with the degeneracy of the genetic code in two manners: having more than one tRNA (with a specific anti-codon) for a particular amino acid; and 'wobble' base-pairing, i.e. permitting non-standard base-pairing at the 3rd anti-codon position. The record is from Rfam by way of RNAcentral. Lineage: Eukaryota; Viridiplantae; Streptophyta; Magnoliopsida; Solanales; Convolvulaceae.
GCCUUCUUAGCUCAGUGGUAGAGCGCGUGGCUUUUAACCACAUGGUUGUUGGUUUGAUCCCCACAGAUGGUG